This 981-nucleotide ribosomal RNA is filed under the name uncultured Prevotella sp. RNAcentral describes it as "bacterial SSU rRNA". It matches the Rfam family "Bacterial small subunit ribosomal RNA", at positions 509 to 1503 of the family's 1533-position model. Lineage: Bacteria; Pseudomonadati; Bacteroidota; Bacteroidia; Bacteroidales; Prevotellaceae. The record is from RNAcentral.
CAGCAGCCGCGGUAAUACGGAAGGUCCUGGCGUUAUCCGGAUUUAUUGGGUUUAAAGGGAGCGCAGGCCGCCCCUUAAGCGUAUUGUGAAACCCGGGCGCCCAACGCCCGGCCUGCAGCGCGAACUGGGGGGCUUGAGUGCGCGCAACGCCGGCGGAAUUCGUCGUGUAGCGGUGAAAUGCUUAGAUAUGACGAGGAACCCCGAUUGCGAAGGCAGCCGGCGGGAGCGCAACUGACGCUUAUGCUCGAAGGCGCGGGUAUCGAACAGGAUUAGAUACCCUGGUAGUCCGCGCUGUAAACGAUGGAUGCCCGCCGUUGGCACUUGGUGCCUUCGGCCAAGCGAAAGCGUUAAGCAUCCCACCUGGGGAGUACGCCGGCAACGGUGAAACUCAAAGGAAUUGACGGGGGCCCGCACAAGCGGAGGAACAUGUGGUUUAAUUCGAUGAUACGCGAGGAACCUUACCCGGGCUUGAAUUGCUGAGGACGGCGCCGGAGACGGCGCUUCCCUUCGGGGUCUCAGUGAAGGUGCUGCAUGGUUGUCGUCAGCUCGUGCCGUGAGGUGUCGGCUCAAGUGCCAUAACGAGCGCAACCCCUCUCCGUAGUUGCCAUCGGGUCAUGCCGGGCACUCUUCGGACACUGCCGCCGCAAGGUGUGAGGAARGUGGGGAUGACGUCAAAUCAGCACGGCCCUUACGUCCGGGGCUACACACGUGUUACAAUGGCCGGUACAGAGAGUCGUCCGGGCGCGAGCCCGGCCCAAUCCCUAAAUCCGGCCUCAGUUCGGACUGGGGUCUGCAACCCGACCCCACGAAGCUGGAUUCGCUAGUAAUCGCGCAUCAGCCAUGGCGCGGUGAAUACGUUCCCGGGCCUUGUACACACCGCCCGUCAAGCCAUGAAAGCCGGGGGCGCCUGAAGUCCGUGACCGCGAGGAUCGGCCUAGGGCGAAACCGGUGAUUGGGGCUAAGUCGUAACAAGGUAGCCGU